CCCUAGCUGGCAUUGUCAAGGAAUUUGGAGAAUGAAUUUCAUGCAUUUUUUUGUUUCAGGCCAUUCUGACAACUCAGAACAGACAGAUACCUACAGCUUCAUCACUGCCAGCAGCACACUGCUGGGCUGGCAUUUACUGAUCAAAAGAAACUUUGCCUGAAGAAUUUCCUCUGUCCAAAGAUAAAAGGGAUACAGUACUUUCAUGGGCUUUGUUGGAGACUCUCAGCUCCCCUUCCGAAAAUCCCAUUGGCAGGAAACUCAUACAGGCAUUCAUCUCAGGAAGGAUUUGGGGGAACGAGCACCUGUCACUCUGCCUCAAUAUUGUGACUAAAGGGAGCUUUUCUUCUCCAGCAUUUUCACAUAAGACAUAUAAGCUCCUGGGUUCACAGCCUUUGAACCUCAGCAAUAGGGCCAACUGCCUGAGUCAUUUAAAACCCACAGCAGAAACAAUAUAACCCUCUGCCAGCUAAAAAAUUAGUCGUUCCAUUUACGCUUCAUUUCAGCACACUGCAUCUUCAGGUAAACCAGUGGUAAAACAAAGUUCAUAAUUAGUUUUUCUUUUACGUUGCUUUGAUUUUCAGAUCCUUCAUUCUCCCAUUUAAAUAUUUUAUAAGCCCCUCAGUGCCCACAUCUGUCCAUCUUCUUUCCUUCUGUCUUUCCAAGAGCCUUUGUGUGAUUGUUUGAUUUAUCUGUAUGAGAAAAUUGUCUGCUUACAAAAAGCUCAACCAAAAAUAGAACCAUAAUGAAUAUCAGUUAUCAGUGCAACUACUGCCUCAUAUCACAGUAGUCUAAUUCAUACAUUUUAACACAUUCAUGGAGACCUAAAGAGAAUCCAUUGUGUUCUAAACAGAGCUGUGAUAACUGUAAUUGAGUAAAUUUAAACACUUUCCUGAUAUAUGAUCCCUUGCAAUCUCUGAUUAUAUCUAAUUUUUUUAAUUAUUUCAGGAGAUCCUGAAGCAGCCUCCAUGUGCACAAUCAGUAGAUACAAAAGUUAAUUCUAUAAUCUGCCUUUCUAAACUUGUUUCCUGCCUUCCCAAGUUUUGCUUAUUUUACUUUACUUUCUGUCUUCUUGUGUUU
RNAcentral lists this long non-coding RNA (1077 nucleotides) under Coturnix japonica (Japanese quail). RNAcentral's name for it is "lncRNA (ENSCJPG00005017657.1)". Lineage: Eukaryota; Metazoa; Chordata; Aves; Galliformes; Phasianidae. The record is from RNAcentral.